This 253-nucleotide ribosomal RNA is filed under the name uncultured bacterium. Its description in RNAcentral is "partial 16S ribosomal RNA". It matches the Rfam family "Bacterial small subunit ribosomal RNA", at positions 524 to 776 of the family's 1533-position model. The record is from RNAcentral.
UACGUAGGUGACCAGCGUUGUCCGGAUUUACUGGGCGUAAAGAGCGCGCAGGCGGUCGUUCAAGUCGAGUGUGAAAGCCCCCGGCUCAACUGGGGAGGGUCAUUCGAUACUGAUCGACUGGAAGGCAGGAGAGGGAAGCGGAAUUCCCGGUGUAGCGGUGAAAUGCGCAGAUAUCGGGAGGAACACCGGUGGCGAAGGCGGUUCUCUAGUACGGUACUGACGCUGAGACGCGAAAGCGUGGGGAGCGAACAGG